GAGUUUGAUCCUGGCUCAGAACGAACGUUGGCGGCGUGGAUCAGGCAUGCAAGUCGACGAAUUCCCAGGGGGUAACUUCUCUGGAGGAAGUGGCGAAAGGGCAGUAAGGCAUGGUUUAACUUGCCCCGGACUUCGGAUAGCCUUCCUUAACGGAUGGGUAAUACCGAAUGCCGUGACCUGGGGGCAUCCUCGGGUCACGAAAGCUCAGGCGGUCCGGGAGGGGCUCAUGUGGUAUUAUGCUUGUUGGUGGGGUGACGGCCUACCAAGGCUGAGAUGCCUAGCAGGUGUGAGAGCACGACCUGCGCCACUGGCACUGUGACACUGGCCAGACUCCUACGGGAGGCUGCAGUCGAGGAUCUUCGGCAAUGGGCGAAAGCCUGACCGAGCGACGCCGCGUGUGCGAUGAAGGCCUUCGGGUUGUAAAGCACUGUCGAGGGGGAGAAAGGGCAACCUGAUCGACCCCUGGAGGAAGCUCGGGCUAAGUUCGUGCCAGCAGCCGCGGUAAGACGAACCGAGCGAACGUUUUCGGAAUCACUGGGCUUAAAGGGUGCGUAGGCGGGCCGUCAAGUCAGGGGUGAAAGCCUCCAGCUCAACUGGAGAAGUGCCUUUGAUACUGGCGGCCUCGAGGGAGGU
This 633-nucleotide ribosomal RNA is filed under the name uncultured bacterium. Its description in RNAcentral is "bacterial SSU rRNA". It matches the Rfam family "Bacterial small subunit ribosomal RNA", at positions 9 to 652 of the family's 1533-position model. The record is from RNAcentral.